CUUGUUUUGUUUUAUUUGGCAUUCUUUGGGAACCAAAUUGUUUCACAGUGUCCACAUAUUAAUUAACUACAUUUUGAUGAUUGUUUGGCGGACAUUGCAAAUAACAUCUACUUGUGUAUUCUUUAGAUAUCCUCCAAGAUAGUUCUGUGGACAGAUUAAAUUAUUAGGCCUAAUUCACGUCCGUUAACUUGGCGGUCCAGGCCAACCUGUCGCGCCAAUCUAUGUUCUGGGCCCCGUUGUGAAAGAAGAUGAAGGUGUGGCAACUGAUGCUAUCUGGUCUGGUGGUUCAUCUGAUUCUCUUCUACUCCAUCUUUGACAUUUACUUCACAUCCCCAUUGGUGCAUGGAAUGACUCCAAGUGUUCCUGAUUCCCCGGCACCCGCUAAGAGACUGGUACUGUUUGUUGCCGAUGGACUGAGAGCAGACCGUUUCUUUCAGCAGGACAGGGAUAGAGAGGGAAGGGAACUGUACCUCAGGGAUGUGAUUCAGAGCCGAGGGUCGUGGGGUGUGUCUCACACUCGGGUGCCAACAGAGUCCAGACCAGGACAUGUGGCUCUCAUCGCUGGCUUCUAUGAAGAUGUCAGUGCUGUGGCUAAAGGAUGGAAGGAAAAUCCAGUUGAGUUUGACUCGGUUUUCAACGAGAGCCGCUACACUUGGUCAUGGGGGAGUCCAGACAUCCUGCCUAUGUUUGCCAAAGGUACAGCUCUCACAGGUGCUACUGGCGACCAUGUGUUCACUCACUGCUACUCGUCAGCGGAGGAAGACUUUGCCAGUUUUGAUGCCAGUAAACUCGAUACCUGGGUUUACCAGAAGGUCAAGAAAUUCCUUUCUGUGGCCAAGACCAAUGCUACAUUACUUCAUCAGCUGCAGCAAGAUAAGAUUGUCUUCUUCCUUCAUCUUCUUGGCCUGGACACAAAUGGACAUUCUCACAAGCCACACUCACGGGAGUACAUAGAAAAUAUUCAUCUCCUCAACCAUGGAGUAGAGGAAAUGGUGUCUCUGUUUGAAGAUUUCUAUAACCAAGAUGGCCGCACAGCUUAUGUCAUGUCUGCCGACCAUGGCAUGACAGACUGGGGUUCCCAUGGAGCUGGCCUUCCCUCGGAGACACUGACCCCCUUGGUAGCUUGGGGGGCGGGGCUACACGGGCCUAGGGGGGCGGGGACGUGUGGAACCUACCCAGACACGUUCUGCACAGACUGGAACUUGAAUAACAUAGCAAGAUUUGAUGUUCAGCAGGCCGAUGUCGCUCCUCUCAUGGCGUACCUCAUCGGCGUUGCCUUUCCCAUGAACUCUGUGGGAGUUCUGCCCCUUGAGUACCUAGGUGUGUCGCUAUGGGAACAGGCGGAGGGGAUCUACGCUAAUGCACAGCAGAUACUUGCACAAUAUCAGGUGAAGAUGAGGCAGGUGAAGGAGAGGACUGUCUCGGUUGCCUUCCGACCUUUCGGGGAACUUUCCCCAUCAAAACAAGCAGACUACGUCCGACACAUCCGGCAGCUGAUCAAGUCUGGAAACUAUGCACAGGCAAUAGCAGAGAGCCGGGAGUUGAUGAGUGUGGGUCUGAAGGGACUCAACUAUUACCAGAAGUAUGACAGACUGUUCCUAGGGAUCAGUAUCGUGCUGAGCUUCGUGGGAUGGAUGGUGUACCUGCUGCAGCAGGUGCUCCACAACCACACCUGGUUCUGUGCUGGCAGGUCGGACAGAGUUGCCUCCCCUCUACACUACGUCCACAUGGCGGCAGCUGUCAUGGCCUCCAUCGUCAGUUUUCUCUUGUUUAUCCAGUCGUCCCCGGUCACCUACUACCUCUACUGCCUGCUCCCCGUGCUGCUGUGGACCAAAGUCGUGGAAGCUGAAGUUAGAUUACAGAUCCUGAAACGAGCUGUAUCUGCGUGUUACGAUAACAAGUGUAUCCUGGCAGUGACGGCCUCUGUUGCCUGUAGCAUGCUGGGACUGGAGAUAGUGGUCCAAGGCUUCUUCCAGAGAGAGCUGUUGUCCGUGGGGCUCGUCUGUAUCGCACUCUGGUCUGUGACGUCGGGGGUCUUCAACACUUCCAAGUUUUCGGCGUAUGGCUGGUUGCUAAGCUGCAUAUUGCUGGCAGCGUUCCCUCUCCUUCCCGUGGUGGGCCGGAACGCCAACUAUACGCUUGUCCUCGUCUCGGGGAUGCUGGCCUUCCUGCUGGGGGCAGUGAUGGUGUACAGACUGGGUGUGUUGACCAGCAGGGACAAGAACAACAACAGAAUGUCAGGUGUCAUCAUGGGCAUACAGCUUGUAAUGAUCCUUGCGGCCGUGGGACUGGUGAAGACGACGUCGGACGGUAUCAGGCAGCGGCAUGGGGUCCCAUCGUACAACCACCUCAUCAGCUGGGCCAUGCUAGGAUUGAGUCCGAUAUGGCCGCUACUGACCAGCACGAACCUCCCGGAGAGACUGGCCAGCGUGGGGCUGACCUUCAUCGGCCCCUACAUCCUCAUGAGCAUCACCUACGAGAGCGUGUUCCUGUUGGUGCUACUCAGUCUCCUGUACUUCUGGCUCCACAUGGAGCACGACCUGGCAGAGGAGCGCACCAGGAAGCUGUUGUCCCACACUGACUUCACUGCCAACACCCACCUCAAGUCUCACCGCGACACCUCGCCGGAUUCAAGAUGGCUGCAGCUGGCCGACCUCAGACGAGCAUUCUACUUUGUCUUCCUCACACUGACGGCGUUCUUUGGCACAGGAAAUAUAGCAAGCAUUAACAGGUAGGGAUGUCUGUAGCAGGAGCUCACCAGUAUCCAGUCUCUGACUCUCGGGACUUGGCCAAUAAUCUGCUUCUAACGUCUUUAUACUUUGUGUACCAGGUAAUUUUGCUGGAAUAUUGCUAAAAGUGGCAUGAAGCCAUACUCCAUCACUUUGUAUCUGUACGAGUAUUGUUAAAACCAUAGUUGCAUACAAGGAGUGGCCUCUACAACGUAUACAUUUAAAAUACAUAAGUUCCCAAGUCCAAAAAGUCAUUUGCAGGGUUAAAACUGACAGUUUUUGUCCAGUAGUCCUUAUAAUGAUAACAUAUGGCAAAACCCUUAAAAUGGGCCAAUUUCUGUUAGUCCUUAGGAUACCUUUACUAUUGGGCAGUUUGGUAAGGACUACAGGACUAGUGCCAAUUUCUAAAGCUGAAUUUGUAAUAUCGAGUACCAUAUCUAUCAACAUAUUGAGGCAUUAUAGAUAUUGCCCUUGCAAUGACUUUGCUGGUUUAGCAUGCCUGUAUAUAACAAAAUAAGAAUGAAAUAUCUACCUGCCUGGUCAUUUUCAUGUAAAAACUUUGAAUGUCUGCUGUCAAACAAACAUUAUAGUGUUCAACUACAAGUAUCUUUAUACAUUCAUCAUGCUUUUGUGUUACGUCAGUUGUUGUCUUGAUACUCCGUAUACUGCAAUAUUUGAUAAUAUAACUGUAUGUCAAUGUAACUCACUUGUAUAUGGGCAAUUGACCUUUAAUCCAAUAAACCAUUGAAUUGAAAAAAUUGACAGCUUGUCUGACAUUGUGAAAGAGAAUUGAAUAAACUUUCCUG
Molecule: unclassified non-coding RNA, 3535 nt
Filed under: Haliotis rufescens (red abalone)
Lineage: Eukaryota; Metazoa; Mollusca; Gastropoda; Lepetellida; Haliotidae
Description: gPI ethanolamine phosphate transferase 1-like, transcript variant X1
Source: RNAcentral